UACACUGGAUGAUUGUUUUGUUCAUUCUGUGGUUGAAAUUACAGAUCACUGCAAUCAUGGAUCUCCUUCUUUAUCCUGCAGUUGCAGAGUUGGGUUAGGCAGCAGAACUGAAUUGUCUUGCCCUGGUACUACCACUGGUGCUACAGGUGGUACUCAUGCUGUUCACCACUGCACUGGACUGCCCUGCCACGUGUCACUUUGUCAAGGGCCUAGUGAGAGCUUAUGUGCUCACUGCAUCGCUGAGAAAGACUUGAGGAAUAAUUGGUCCCAGGAGAGUCAUAUGCCAGUGCCUUGAGAUUCCCCCUUCACACUGAGUAGUUGCCUUUGUUAUCUUCCCACUGCUGAUGUUAACCAGCAGAACAAGCACUGAACUGGAAUGUUUCUGUCAUAUUUUUCUUCGCCAAUCUAUUUUUGCUGUCCACCUUUUUGGAGUUUUGUUUGUGACUAAUGGCCUUACAAUGCUCGGAGCAAGAAGAGAACUGGGAGGUGAGCCUGCACUCUUCAGUGCCCUGAUGCUGUACAUUUGGAUCAAAACUCCAGAUCUCGAAUCUGUGGGUGACCUGCCACUGACGGGAGCUGAAGGCAGCGCACGAGCAGCCGGCCUGCAGGAGCUGGUGUUCCUGCCGCGGGGAGAAGCCUUUUCCAGUCCAGCAGGUAGGUGCACAUUGCAGCCAAAAACAGCCUCAGCAAAGCACUGCUGCUCCCUGAUCGCUGCUGCUCGGCCCCGAAGGGAUCAGGCAGUCACAGCGAGACUUGCAAGUCUAUUAAGAGGGAUCCUUGAGCGUUAUGGCCUUUCACUGGUGAAAUCAUAGCAGCAUUAAGCGAGAAAACAACUGAAAAAGGUUGUUCUAGAGUAGUUUCCUAGGUCUUUGGAUGUCUAAGCCUAAUUCACAGAUCAAAAUAAUGGAUAAAGGAGUGCUUAGGUGGGGGUUCUAAUGGAAAAGUAUCCUAGCAAAUC
RNAcentral lists this long non-coding RNA (958 nucleotides) under Parus major (Great Tit). RNAcentral's name for it is "lncRNA (ENSPMJG00000009671.1)". The record is from RNAcentral. Lineage: Eukaryota; Metazoa; Chordata; Aves; Passeriformes; Paridae.